RNAcentral lists this ribosomal RNA (1296 nucleotides) under Limosilactobacillus fermentum. Its description in RNAcentral is "bacterial SSU rRNA". It matches the Rfam family "Bacterial small subunit ribosomal RNA", at positions 49 to 1302 of the family's 1533-position model. Lineage: Bacteria; Bacillati; Bacillota; Bacilli; Lactobacillales; Lactobacillaceae. The record is from RNAcentral.
UAAUACAUGCAAGUCGAACGCGUUGGCCCAAUUGAUUGAUGGUGCUUGCACCUGAUUGAUUUUGGUCGCCAACGAGUGGCGGACGGGUGAGUAACACGUAGGUAACCUGCCCAGAAGCGGGGGACAACAUUUGGAAACAGAUGCUAAUACCGCAUAACAACGUUGUUCGCAUGAACAACGCUUAAAAGAUGGCUUCUCGCUAUCACUUCUGGAUGGACCUGCGGUGCAUUAGCUUGUUGGUGGGGUAACGGCCUACCAAGGCGAUGAUGCAUAGCCGAGUUGAGAGACUGAUCGGCCACAAUGGGACUGAGACACGGCCCAUACUCCUACGGGAGGCAGCAGUAGGGAAUCUUCCACAAUGGGCGCAAGCCUGAUGGAGCAACACCGCGUGAGUGAAGAAGGGUUUCGGCUCGUAAAGCUCUGUUGUUAAAGAAGAACACGUAUGAGAGUAACUGUUCAUACGUUGACGGUAUUUAACCAGAAAGUCACGGCUAACUACGUGCCAGCAGCCGCGGUAAUACGUAGGUGGCAAGCGUUAUCCGGAUUUAUUGGGCGUAAAGAGAGUGCAGGCGGUUUUCUAAGUCUGAUGUGAAAGCCUUCGGCUUAACCGGAGAAGUGCAUCGGAAACUGGAUAACUUGAGUGCAGAAGAGGGUAGUGGAACUCCAUGUGUAGCGGUGGAAUGCGUAGAUAUAUGGAAGAACACCAGUGGCGAAGGCGGCUACCUGGUCUGCAACUGACGCUGAGACUCGAAAGCAUGGGUAGCGAACAGGAUUAGAUACCCUGGUAGUCCAUGCCGUAAACGAUGAGUGCUAGGUGUUGGAGGGUUUCCGCCCUUCAGUGCCGGAGCUAACGCAUUAAGCACUCCGCCUGGGGAGUACGACCGCAAGGUUGAAACUCAAAGGAAUUGACGGGGGCCCGCACAAGCGGUGGAGCAUGUGGUUUAAUUCGAAGCUACGCGAAGAACCUUACCAGGUCUUGACAUCUUGCGCCAACCCUAGAGAUAGGGCGUUUCCUUCGGGAACGCAAUGACAGGUGGUGCAUGGUCGUCGUCAGCUCGUGUCGUGAGAUGUUGGGUUAAGUCCCGCAACGAGCGCAACCCUUGUUACUAGUUGCCAGCAUUAAGUUGGGCACUCUAGUGAGACUGCCGGUGACAAACCGGAGGAAGGUGGGGACGACGUCAGAUCAUCAUGCCCCUUAUGACCUGGGCUACACACGUGCUACAAUGGACGGUACAACGAGUCGCGAACUCGCGAGGGCAAGCAAAUCUCUUAAAACCGUUCUCAGUUCGGACUGCA